CUUAUUGAAAGACAAGGGUUGCUUGGCCCGCCCAAAUCAGUGAGAGCCUCAUUGGAAUCAGCCUAAACCCAUGGAAACCGAGGAAAUGGAUUACUGAAGAUUUAUUUCUCAUGUUAACACGUCAAACAAAUGGACCUCAUGGAAGCAACAUCAAAAUGAGUCAGUUCUUUCCAAGAUUUACUUCUCUCUCUCUUUCUCUCUCUCUCUCUCUCUCUCACACACACACACAC
RNAcentral lists this long non-coding RNA (230 nucleotides) under Elaeis guineensis (African oil palm). Its description in RNAcentral is "long non-coding RNA (EGUI_LNC023605)". The record is from RNAcentral. Lineage: Eukaryota; Viridiplantae; Streptophyta; Magnoliopsida; Arecales; Arecaceae.